AUUGAACGCUGGCGGCAGGCCUAACACAUGCAAGUCGAGCGGUAGAGAGAAGCUUGCUUCUCUUGAGAGCGGCGGACGGGUGAGUAAAGCCUAGGAAUCUGCCUGGUAGUGGGGGAUAACGUUCGGAAACGGACGCUAAUACCGCAUACGUCCUACGGGAGAAAGCAGGGGACCUUCGGGCCUUGCGCUAUCAGAUGAGCCUAGGUCGGAUUAGCUAGUUGGUGAGGUAAUGGCUCACCAAGGCGACGAUCCGUAACUGGUCUGAGAGGAUGAUCAGUCACACUGGAACUGAGACACGGUCCAGACUCCUACGGGAGGCAGCAGUGGGGAAUAUUGGACAAUGGGCGAAAGCCUGAUCCAGCCAUGCCGCGUGUGUGAAGAAGGUCUUCGGAUUGUAAAGCACUUUAAGUUGGGAGGAAGGGCAUUAACCUAAUACGUUAGUGUUUUGACGUUACCGACGGAAUAAGCACCGGUUAACUCUGUGCCAGCCGCCGCGGUAA
This 500-nucleotide ribosomal RNA is filed under the name uncultured bacterium. Its description in RNAcentral is "partial 16S ribosomal RNA". It matches the Rfam family "Bacterial small subunit ribosomal RNA", at positions 30 to 523 of the family's 1533-position model. The record is from RNAcentral.